GUCUUAUUGAAAAAAUAGUAAUAAGUCGAUUUCUGCCCAUUGAAUAAAUAAUUUUUAAAGGCUGCGGUAUAUUAACUGUACAAAGGUAGCAAAAUAAAUAGUUUUUUAAUUGAAAACUAGAAUGAAAGAGUUAAUAAGAUAUAAAUUGUCUCAAUUUAAUUAUAUUGAAUUUAAAUUUAAAGUUAAAAUGCUUUAAUAUUUUUAUAAGACGAUAAGACCCUAAGAAUUUUAUUAUAAAAUUUUUAAUAAGUUUUUUAUAAAAAAAAUAUUAAAAAUUAAAUAAUUUUAUUGGGAGGAUAAUUAAAUUAAAGAACUUUAAUUAUUAAAAAAUAUUUUUAGAUAAAAUUUUAAUGAUUAUUUUAAAGAUUAUAAGAAUAAAUUACCUUAGGGAUAACAGCCGUAAUAAUUUUGGAGAGUUCAUAUUGAUAAAAUUGUUUGC
Molecule: ribosomal RNA, 439 nt
Filed under: Polybia emaciata
Lineage: Eukaryota; Metazoa; Arthropoda; Insecta; Hymenoptera; Vespidae
Description: partial 16S ribosomal RNA
Source: RNAcentral